Molecule: ribosomal RNA, 867 nt
Filed under: uncultured Bacillota bacterium
Lineage: Bacteria; Bacillati; Bacillota
Description: bacterial SSU rRNA
Rfam family: Bacterial small subunit ribosomal RNA
Source: RNAcentral
UAACACAUGCAAGUCGAACGGAGAAUUUAUUUCGGUAAAUUCUUAGUGGCGAACGGGUGAGUAACGCGUAGGCAACCUGCCCUCCAGUUGGGGACAACAUUCCGAAAGGAAUGCUAAUACCGAAUGUGAUCCCUUUUCCGCAUGGAGAAGGGAUGAAAGAUGGCCUCUAUUUAUAAGCUAUCGCUGGAAGAUGGGCCUGCGUCUGAUUAGCUAGUUGGUGGGGUAACGGCUCACCAAGGCGAUGAUCAGUAGCCGGUCUGAGAGGAUGAACGGCCACAUUGGGACUGAGACACGGCCCAAACUCCUACGGGAGGCAGCAGUGGGGAAUCUUCCGCAAUGGACGAAAGUCUGACGGAGCAACGCCGCGUGAGUGAUGAAGGUCUUCGGAUUGUAAAACUCUGUUGUCAGGGACGAAUGUGCGAACGUUGAAUAAGCGUUUGUAUUGACGGUACCUGACGAGGAAGCCACGGCUAACUACGUGCCAGCAGCCGCGGUAAUACGUAGGUGGCAAGCGUUGUCCGGAAUUAUUGGGCGUAAAGAGCAUGUAGGCGGGCUUUUAAGUCCGACGUGAAAAUGCGGGGCUUAACCCCGUAUGGCGUUGGAUACUGGAAGUCUUGAGUGCAGGAGAGGAAAGGGGAAUUCCCAGUGUAGCGGUGAAAUGCGUAGAUAUUGGGAGGAACACCAGUGGCGAAGGCGCCUUUCUGGACUGUGUCUGACGCUGAGAUGCGAAAGCCAGGGUAGCAAACGGGAUUAGAUACCCCGGUAGUCCUGGCCGUAAACGAUGGGUACUAGGUGUAGGAGGUAUCGACCCCUUCUGUGCCGGAGUUAACGCAAUAAGUACCCCGCCUGGGGACUACGAUCGCAAGA